UGAGGAAUAUUGGUCAAUGGGCGUAAGCCUGAACCAGCCAAGUCGCGUGAGGGAAGACGGCCCUAUGGUUGUAAACCUCUUUUGUCGGGGAGCAAAGCCGCCCACGAGUGGGCGGAAGGAGAGUACCCGAAGAAAAGCAUCGGCUAACUCCGUGCCAGCAGCCGCGGUAAUACGGAGGAUGCGAGCGUUAAUCGGAAUUACUGGGCGUAAAGCGCACGUAGGCUGUUGUGUAAGUCAGGGGUGAAAUCCCACGGCUCAACCGUGGAACUGCCCUUGAUACUGCAUGACUGGAAUCCGGGAGAGGGUGGCGGAAUUCCAGGUGUAGGAGUGAAAUCCGUAGAUAUCUGGAGGAACAUCAGUGGCGAAGGCGGCCACCUGGACCGGUAUUGACGCUGAGGUGCGAAAGCGUGGGGGAGCAAACAGGAUUAGAUACC
RNAcentral lists this ribosomal RNA (434 nucleotides) under uncultured bacterium. RNAcentral's name for it is "bacterial SSU rRNA". It matches the Rfam family "Bacterial small subunit ribosomal RNA", at positions 355 to 786 of the family's 1533-position model. The record is from RNAcentral.